AGAGGGGAGGAGUCUGUGACCCGAUUCUUAUGGAUUCCCCUGCACAUACACAUAUGGGCUUACGGAGCUAUGCCACGUAUGCACAUAGAUUGCAUGAUCACACUGCGCACAAAUUACUUGAUCACACAGUGCACGGAAUAUGUAGGACAUAAG
Non-coding RNA from Peromyscus maniculatus bairdii (prairie deer mouse), 153 nucleotides. NCBI's taxonomy places the organism in Eukaryota, Metazoa, Chordata, Mammalia, Rodentia, Cricetidae. The record is from RefSeq and is a predicted model, not a curated record.